Molecule: ribosomal RNA, 468 nt
Filed under: uncultured bacterium
Lineage: Bacteria
Description: partial 16S ribosomal RNA
Rfam family: Bacterial small subunit ribosomal RNA
Source: RNAcentral
GACGAACGCUGGCGGCGUGCUUAACACAUGCAAGUCGAACGGAAAGGUCCUGCUUUUGUUGGGUGCUCGAGUGGCGAACGGGUGAGUAACACGUGAGUAACCUGCCCUUGACUUUGGGAUAACUUCAGGAAACUGGGGCUAAUACCGGAUAUGAGCUCCUGCUGCAUGGUGGUGGUUGGAAAGUUUCGGCGGUUGGGGAUGGACUCGCGGCUUAUCAGCUUGUUGGUGUGGUAGUGGCUUACCAAGGCUUUGACGGGUAGCCGGCCUGAGAGGGUGACCGGCCACAUUGGGACUGAGAUACGGCCCAGACUCCUACGGGAGGCAGCAGUGGGGAAUAUUGCACAAUGGGCGGAAGCCUGAUGCAGCAACGCCGCGUGCGGGAUGACGGCCUUCGGGUUGUAAACCGCUUUCGCCUGUGACGAAGCGUGAGUGACGGUAAUGGGUAAAGAAGCACCGGCUAACUACGUG